Electrophorus electricus (electric eel) is the source of this 1205-nucleotide long non-coding RNA. Lineage: Eukaryota; Metazoa; Chordata; Actinopteri; Gymnotiformes; Gymnotidae. The record is from Ensembl.
CACCAGCUAGGUUCUGCAGGCCAGCCCGCCUGCGUGCCUGUCCGCAUGCCCUCCUUGAUGGCGUCCCUUCUGGGCCCCUCAGCCGCCAGCUCGCCCGCGCAGCCCCAGCAGUCCAGGGUGGCUCUGCGCAUCCCCACCUACCCCUGUACUUCCACCAAAGUUUCUGUGUCUUUCUCGCCCACCCCCGUCCAGUUUCCUGCACCCACGAUCGCUUCAGCCAACGGACCCAAGACCCUGCCGCCCAGGAACCAGCUGUCUGCAGGACGUGUCAGGCCAAUGACACUCCGCUUACCUGCUCCUGGACUGAUUCCUGGUCCCGUUCCUGGUCCCACUCUUGGUCCUGCUCCUCUUCCUGGUCCCGCGCUCGGUCCCGUUCCUGCUGGUGCUCUUGGUCCCACUUCUGCUCCUUCACCUGCUCCUAUUCCUCUCUCCAGCAUCGCAUCCACCCCUGCGCAGUUCCCCACAUGCCUCCAAAGUCCCGCCGGCUGCUCCCCCACCCCCCGGUCCCAACCCCCAUCCCAGGGCCCGCUGAAGAUUGUCGCCAUGUUCGUCAACCAGAGCCAGGAGCUGGCGCUACAGAAACGCCUGCGCCAGUCCUGGAGCUCCAAGGCCGUUUUUCCCUGCAGGCAGUGCGGCGCCAUCUCCAGGCAACCGUCGCUGGGCGUGCGCCACCGCUACAAGCACCGUGGCCCGCGCCGGCACCGCUGCCAGUGCGGUAGGGCCUUCCAGCGGCGCCUGCACCUGCUGCGACACCAGGUGCAGCACGCCGAGGCCGUGCGCUACGUGUGCGCCGCCUGCGGACGCACCUUCCAAGGGACGCACCGGCUGGGCCGACACAGAUCGGACGCGAUCGCCAAGGCCGGGCCCGGCCAACCACGGACUGAGAAGGAAUGCAGAAACCUGUUCCACUGUGUCUGUGGGCAGGCGUUCGCCAGACCUGCCGCCUUGCUGUGGCAUAUGCUGAAAAAUUCUAAGUCCCGAAAAAAACGCUUAAAAAAGUUUCUAAUUUAGCGACAUGGCUGUUGUAGGUUAGGUACCUGUGUCCUGCAUGGAUGCUUUGAGGACAGGAGGGUGUAUUUUCCUGUUUGAGUAAGACUGGAUUUUCUGGUUUCAGAUGGUCUUUGUUGUAGGCCUGUGUGAUCAUAUCAAAUAUUGAUGGGUCUCUGAUGUUUUUGUUAGAUCAUAAUAAAAAAUGACAUAUUUAC